RNAcentral lists this ribosomal RNA (404 nucleotides) under Brucella melitensis. Its description in RNAcentral is "partial 16S ribosomal RNA". It matches the Rfam family "Bacterial small subunit ribosomal RNA", at positions 355 to 776 of the family's 1533-position model. The record is from RNAcentral. RNAcentral also lists the same sequence under 2 other names. Lineage: Bacteria; Pseudomonadati; Pseudomonadota; Alphaproteobacteria; Hyphomicrobiales; Brucellaceae.
UGGGGAAUAUUGGACAAUGGGCGCAAGCCUGAUCCAGCCAUGCCGCGUGAGUGAUGAAGGCCCUAGGGUUGUAAAGCUCUUUCACCGGUGAAGAUAAUGACGGUAACCGGAGAAGAAGCCCCGGCUAACUUCGUGCCAGCAGCCGCGGUAAUACGAAGGGGGCUAGCGUUGUUCGGAUUUACUGGGCGUAAAGCGCACGUAGGCGGACUUUUAAGUCAGGGGUGAAAUCCCGGGGCUCAACCCCGGAACUGCCUUUGAUACUGGAAGUCUUGAGUAUGGUAGAGGUGAGUGGAAUUCCGAGAGUAGAGGUGAAAUUCGUAGAUAUUCGGAGGAACACCAGUGGCGAAGGCGGCUCACUGGACCAUUACUGACGCUGAGGUGCGAAAGCGUGGGGAGCAAACAGG